AACACCAAGGAAUCGGUGAUCUUCAGGAUGAAGAGUUGGCAGCUAGGAUAGCCGUCAGCAGGAAGCGAAGGACAUUGUACGGAUACAACAGUGGCUAGGAUGGUUACUGCAAGGGAACGACAAUGGACACCUCUAGGAAGAGGUAGGACAGCAUCAGGAUGAUGUCAUGGACACCGCUCAAGGAACAAGUGAUGAGUGCUAACGAGGAUUGUUGGCUAUCAGGACGACUAGGACACCGCUAGGACGGCGAAGUACGGAAAUGCUGAUGGAUUCAGCCACUAUUAUGGAUGAUGCAUGGAGCACGACAAGUAGCCGGACUGCUGCGAGUAAGACUAUAACCCCGAUACGCAAGUGUCGGGGUUUUUCUUUUGU
This 372-nucleotide non-coding RNA is filed under the name Vibrio genomosp. F10. The record is from RNAcentral. Lineage: Bacteria; Pseudomonadati; Pseudomonadota; Gammaproteobacteria; Vibrionales; Vibrionaceae.